This 434-nucleotide ribosomal RNA is filed under the name uncultured bacterium. Its description in RNAcentral is "bacterial SSU rRNA". It matches the Rfam family "Bacterial small subunit ribosomal RNA", at positions 954 to 1392 of the family's 1533-position model. The record is from RNAcentral.
GCAUAACGCGAAGAACCUUACCCACCUUUGACAUGUACGGAAUCCUUUAGAGAUAGAGGAGUGCUCGAAAGAGAGCCGUAACACAGGUGCUGCAUGGCUGUCGUCAGCUCGUGUCGUGAGAUGUUGGGUUAAGUCCCGCAACGAGCGCAACCCUUGCCAUUAGUUGCUACGAAAGGGCACUCUAAUGGGACUGCCGGUGACAAACCGGAGGAAGGUGGGGAUGACGUCAAGUCCUCAUGGCCCUUAUAGGUGGGGCUACACACGUCAUACAAUGGCUGGUACAGAGGGUUGCCAACCCGCGAGGGGGAGCUAAUCCCAUAAAGCCAGUCGUAGUCCGGAUCGCAGUCUGCAACUCGACUGCGUGAAGUCGGAAUCGCUAGUAAUCGCGGAUCAGAAUGUCGCGGUGAAUACGUUCCCGGGUCUUGUACACACCG